This 429-nucleotide ribosomal RNA is filed under the name Chloroflexota bacterium. RNAcentral describes it as "Chloroflexi bacterium partial 16S ribosomal RNA". It matches the Rfam family "Bacterial small subunit ribosomal RNA", at positions 355 to 776 of the family's 1533-position model. Lineage: Bacteria; Bacillati; Chloroflexota. The record is from RNAcentral.
UGGGGAAUAUUGCACAAUGGGCGCAAGCCUGAUGCAGCCAUGCCGCGUGUAUGAAGAAGGCCUUCGGGUUGUAAAGUACUUUCAGCGGGGAGGAAGGGAGUAAAGUUAAUACCUUUGCUCAUUGACGUUACCCGCAGAAGAAGCACCGGCUAACUCCGUGCCAGCAGCCGCGGUAAUACGGAGGGUGCAAGCGUUAAUCGGAAUUACUGGGCGUAAAGCGCACGCAGGCGGUUUGUUAAGUCAGAUGUGAAAUCCCCGGGCUCAACCUGGGAACUGCAUCUGAUACUGGCAAGCUUGACUCUCGUAGAGGGGGGUAGAAUUCCAGGUGUAGCGGUGAAAUGCGUAGAGAUCUGGAGGAAUACCGGUGGCGAAGGCGGCCCCCUGGACGAAGACUGACGCUCAGGUGCGAAAGCGUGGGGAGCAAACAGG